CCUACGGGUGGCAGCAGUGGGGGAUAUUGCACAAUGGGGGAAACCCUGAUGCAGCGACGCCGCGUGAGUGAAGAAGUCUUUCUGUAUGUAAAGCUCUAUCAGCAGGGAAGAAAAUGACAGUACCUGACCAAGACGCCCCGGCUAACUACGUUCCAGCAGCCGCGGUACUACGUAGGGGGCAAGCGUUAUCCGGAUUUACUGGGUGUAAAGGGAGCGUAGCCGGUUAUGUAAGUCUGAAGUGAAAGCCCGGGGCUCAACCCCGGGACUGCUUUGGAUACUGUGUAACUGGAGUACAGGAGGGGCAGGCGGAAUUCCUGGUGUAGCGGUGAAAUGCGUAGAGAUCAGGAGGAACACCGGCGGUGAAGGCGGCCUGCUGAACUGAAACUGACGUUGAGGCUCGAAAGCGUGGGGAGCAAACAGGAUUAGAUACCCUUGUAGUC
This 440-nucleotide ribosomal RNA is filed under the name uncultured bacterium. RNAcentral describes it as "partial 16S ribosomal RNA". It matches the Rfam family "Bacterial small subunit ribosomal RNA", at positions 338 to 795 of the family's 1533-position model. The record is from RNAcentral.